RNAcentral lists this ribosomal RNA (433 nucleotides) under uncultured bacterium. Its description in RNAcentral is "partial 16S ribosomal RNA". It matches the Rfam family "Bacterial small subunit ribosomal RNA", at positions 29 to 507 of the family's 1533-position model. The record is from RNAcentral.
AACGAACGCUGGCGGCAUGCCUAACACAUGCAAGUCGUACGAGGCCUCCGGGUCUAGUGGCGCACGGGUGCGUACCGCGUGGGAACCUGCCCUUAGGUUCGGAAUAACUCCCCGAAAGGGGUGCUAAUACCGGUUAAUGUCUUCGGACCAAAGAUUUAUUGCCUUUGGAUGGGCCCGCGUUGGAUUAGCUAGUUGGUAGGGUAAAAGCCUACCAAGGCGACGAUCCAUAGCUGGUCUGAGAGCAUGAUCAGCCACACUGGGACUGAGACACGGCCCAGACUCCUACGGGAGGCAGCAGUGGAGAAUAUUGGGCAAGGGGCGAAAGCCUGAUCAAGCAAUGCCGCGUGAGUGAUGAAGGCCUUAGGGUUGUAAAGCUCUUUUACCCGAGAUGAUAGUGACAGUACCGGGAGAAUAAGCACCGGCUAACUACGUG